Molecule: ribosomal RNA, 1179 nt
Filed under: Triticum aestivum (bread wheat)
Lineage: Eukaryota; Viridiplantae; Streptophyta; Magnoliopsida; Poales; Poaceae
Description: partial small subunit ribosomal RNA
Source: RNAcentral
AUGCUAGCUUCUGCGAUGGAUUACCUGAGAUCUUGCUGGGGUCCGACGUCGUCGCCGGACGGGCGCCCUCGCAAGGGGGUGGAUGCGGCCGGCCGGCAGGACGGGCUCCUGUGGUACAAGGACGCAGGGCAGCUCGUCGCCGGCGAGUUCUCGAUGGCCGUGGUCCAGGCCAAUAACCUGCUGGAGGACCACAGUCAGGUAGAAUCUGGGUCGCUGAGCACCACGGAUCCCGACCUGCAGGGCACCUUCGUCGGCGUCUAUGAUGGCCAUGGUGGACCGGAGACGGCACGCUACAUCAAUGACCACAUGUUCAACCAUCUGAAGGUAUAUGCAUCUGAGCAGAAGUGCAUGUCAGUGGAAGUAAUUCGGAAGGCUUUCCGAGCGACCGAGGAGGGAUUUCUCUCUCUGGUCAGUAAUCAAUGGUCGGUGAGGCCGCAAUUAGCGGCGGUAGGCUCUUGCUGUCUAGUUGGUGUGAUUUGUGCUGGAACUCUCUAUGUUGCAAAUGUUGGGGACUCCCGUGCUAUUCUGGGGAGACUUGUCAAGGGAACUGGAGAGGUUGUGGCUAUGCAGCUCUCAGCAGAACAUAAUGCAUCCUUUGAGGAGGUUAGGCGAGAGAUGCAGGCAAUGCAUCCUGAUGAUCCCCACAUUGUGAUCCUGAAGCACAAUGUUUGGCGUGUGAAGGGUAUUAUUCAGAUAACAAGGUCCAUUGGAGAUGUGUAUCUGAAGAGACCAGAAUUCAACAGAGAACCUUUGCAUAGCAAGUUUCGGCUUCCAGAAACUUUCCGGAGACCGCUUCUUAGUUCUGAGCCAGCAAUUACUGUACACCAAAUACAGUUAACUGAUCAGUUCAUCAUUUUUGCAUCUGAUGGACUCUGGGAGCAUCUUAGUAACCAAAAAGCUGUUGAGCUAGUCCACAGUAGUCCUCGUAAUGGGAUUGCUCGAAAGCUAGUGAAGGCUGCAAUGCAGGAAGCAGCAAAGAAGAGGGAGAUGCGGUAUUCAGAUCUCAAGAAAAUUGACCGUGGAGUGAGGCGCCACUUUCAUGAUGAUAUAACGGUCGUUGUGGUAUUUUUCGAUUCGAAUGCCAUAGCCAUGGAUGCCUGGAGCCGUCCCACAGUUUCUCUGAGAGGUGGCGGCGUUGCCCUCCCAGCAAAUUCCCUUGCUCCAUUCUCAGGUUCCUAG